UUGGAGGGCAAGUCUGGUGCCAGCAGCCGCGGUAAUUCCAGCUCCAAUAGCGUAUAUUAAAGUUGUUGCAGUUAAAAAGCUCGUAGUUGAAUUUCGGGGUUCUACCGUUGGUCGGGCUUUGUCUGUACUGGUGUAUAGAAUUUCUACCUUCUGGGGAACCAUCAUGCUAUUAAUUUAGCGUGGUGGGAAACCAGGACCUUUACCUUGAAAAAAUUAGUGUGUUCAAAGCAGGCUUAUGUCUGAAUACAUUAGCGUGGAAUAAUAGAAUAGGACGGUGGUCCUGUUUUGUUGGUUUCUGAAUCACCGUAAUGAUUAAUAGGGAUAGUUGGGGGCAUUAGUAUUCAAUUGUCAGAGGUGAAAUUCUUGGAUUUAUUGAAGACUAACUUCUGCGAAAGCAUUUGCCAAGGAAGUUUUCAUUAAUCAAGAACGAAAGUUAGGGGAUCGAAGACGAUCAGAUACCGUCGUAGUCUUAACCAUAAACUAUGCCGACUAGGGAUCGGACGAUGUUAAUUUUUCUUGACUCGUUCGGCGCCUUACGGGAAAC
This 544-nucleotide ribosomal RNA is filed under the name uncultured Glomeromycotina. Its description in RNAcentral is "SSU rRNA". It matches the Rfam family "Eukaryotic small subunit ribosomal RNA", at positions 548 to 1098 of the family's 1831-position model. The record is from RNAcentral. Lineage: Eukaryota; Fungi; Glomeromycota.